This 462-nucleotide small RNA is filed under the name Histoplasma ohiense. Its description in RNAcentral is "hypothetical lncRNA". Lineage: Eukaryota; Fungi; Ascomycota; Eurotiomycetes; Onygenales; Ajellomycetaceae. The record is from RNAcentral.
ACGCUAUGUUACACUACUAUACUAUAUUACUUUACAAUAUAUUACUAUUAUCUCCACUACACUAUAAACUAUCUUCUACUGUUACUCUUCACACUGUCACUACACCUCACAGUUUCUAAUCACUCAACCUUUGAGAGACAGUUCAUUGAGUAAUAGUCAUGGCCUCUACCCACAGCAUUCACUGUACUCAUGCUACUGCUGAAUCUGAAGCAAUAAACACCAUGAAAGAAAACCACAAAACACACACUUCUGCCACUGAAAGUGUGUAACAAGCAUCAUCUUCUCUUAUGAAAUCAGACUCUGAGCAUAAUUCAGAAGAGAAUAUCUCUUCUGAAGAUCUCAGCACAAUUGAGACUGAGAAGAUAGCUGUGAUCAGAAGAAUCAAAAAAUUACAGACUGAGAAAGAAUUGUGAGAACUUCAACAGCAGUGCAACACUUUACUACAAGAAUUGAAUGAAACAA